This is a long non-coding RNA of Helianthus annuus (common sunflower), 920 nucleotides long. RefSeq lists it as uncharacterized. The transcript has 3 exons. The record is from RefSeq and is a predicted model, not a curated record. Lineage: Eukaryota; Viridiplantae; Streptophyta; Magnoliopsida; Asterales; Asteraceae.
CUACAACUCCGAUUAAGUUGCAAUCUCCUUUGUUAUUGAUUCAGACUUCAAAUUUAAAUUGAUUUCUAUCAAGAUUUGUGUUCAAUCCCACCACAUGGAUGUUUUUGUAAAAAUCGAUGUUAUCACUAAUAUGUGUAUUUCUUGCUUUGCCUUCGAAUAAUUGAUCAAUCAGGUUUGUUUUUUGCUAAUCAUUUUAGAUAAACGUGUUGAUUUUGAUAAUCGAAUUCAUUUUUGGGUUAAUUUCUGACCCAACUCCAAAACCCCAUCUCGAUUUCUUUGUUCAUCUCCAUAUUUAUAUGUUUAUAUGGUAUGAUGACUUUAUAAUCGUUUCCACAUAUUACUUUUGUGUAAAAAAGAAAAUAUUGAUACAGUGUUUGUGAUUAAAUUAAAUGUUGGUGUCAAUGUAAUUAGUUCAAGUGGAAGCUAACAAUUUAGUAGUAAGAAAUUGGGAAUUGAUGCAGUUAGGCAUUCUGCACAAGAUGUAUAUCAAAAGCUUCUUCCUUAUAAUAUCGGAUUCAUUCCAAAAGAGUUUGCUGGUUGAGGAUGGCUUUAUCUAUGAUGGACACCAUCAAAAAAAAAAAAAAACAAUGAAUGAGAUGACAAAUGUUUGUUGAUCUAAGUGUAUGUUCAAGCUCACAAUGCAACUUGGGGAUCAAUGGAAAGAAGAUCAUGUGAUCGUUAUUAACGAUCAAUCUUUAUGCAUGUUUGUUGAUUUAUAUUUUUUGUUUGUAUGUUUUAAGGGGGAAAAUAAAUCGAUUUUCGGAUGCAAGGUUAUGAGAUUCCUCAAGAAUGGUUAGGCUGAUUCGGUUGGAAGAAAAUGGAAUUGAUUUAAUCUUAUGUGCAAAUGAAACUAACUCAUAAUCUACACAAUCGAUGAUAAGGUGUUCUUUAUAGAACCCAUGUAAUAUAUGAGUCAAUAA